Molecule: long non-coding RNA, 1306 nt
Organism: Syngnathus typhle (broad-nosed pipefish)
Lineage: Eukaryota; Metazoa; Chordata; Actinopteri; Syngnathiformes; Syngnathidae
Exons: 2
Source: RefSeq, a predicted model, not a curated record
CUCUAUGGUCGGCGGUACAAGCAAGCGAGCAAAAAGGAGCUUGCAGCUCGCCCUUGCGAUGCUUGUUCACAGUGGCUCAUGCGCUGCCACGGUGUCCGGCCCAAAGGGCGAAACGGUACAAAAUGUGGCUUGUCGGGAGCCCGCUUGGGUCAGGGUGAGCCUCACUUCCUCGUAGGGCGCCGCCGCUGUCGGCGAACACCCUUGUUGUUCCUCCUCGCCAGCCAGCCUGCCAGCCAGCCAGCCUGCCAAGCAAGCAGCCAGCCAGCCCAUCUAGCCUGCUAACCAAGCAACCCGCCCGCCCGCCAACUAACCAGCCCGUCAGCCAGCCAGCCAGCCCGUCAGCCAGCCAGCCAUCUCAACCGUGAAUCCGUCUCGCGGGUUUCCGGCCAGUGCACUCGAGUCAUGUGAGAUGGCGAGGGCUACCCGCGGGCGCUGGACGACUCGCUCUCGCUCUCGCUCUCUUUCAUCAAGUGGCCCGAAAAGCAAGUCGAGCGCCCGCCCUCUCAUCGUCUUGCCACGAGAGCUUGAUGCCGGCCACUUUUCCGCCGUUGACGCAUUGAGGAUGCCGUCAUGCCACUCUCGGCUGUGGAGUUUUCGUUUCUUUUGGUGCAAUCCGAGCAAACGUAUUUAUCUGGCCUAACGACCAGAACCAGAGUGGAGACGGCUUUUUGGGGCGGCGGCUGCGGUGGGGGCUGUCGAAUGCCCCGCUAACGUGGGCGGGGUCGUUUUUUCCGCAGGUUCACCAAGCGAUGAAGCGCCACGACCCCCCCCCCCCCCCCCGUCCAGCCUCCAAUUCAUCAAGGCAGCGAUUCGGGUCGUCAAUAACGGCGAGACGGAUGGCUCCCCUGCUUGGCGCGCCGGCUGAAUUGCUCACAGAACGUGCGUCGUCACGUCCAGCGGUGACUGGUGGGGAUUGCGUUGGAGAUUUCGAAAUACAGCGAGCAGCGCUUUGGCAAAUAGUCUAUUAUAUCUAUACAUUAGUAUAUUGCCACUGCCUGUUGAAGUUUGCAUUGAAAACAACCACAUAGUUUGCAUUGAAAACAACCGCAUAGUCCGUUCGCUUAUUGCUCAUUUAGUCGCCCUCCUCGUGGCGACGACAAAGAUGGAUAACGACGGAAAGCCAUUUGUGCACCUCCCCGAAAUUGCGCUUUGAACGAUUCUUUUUUAUUUCACUCCCUAUCGCGGCUUGCUGUCAAAAUAAAUUGCCUUACGUGAAUAUGUUAGCUUAAAAGUCAGAAUUCUGAGCAUAAAGUCAGAAUUAUGACUUUAAAGUCAGACUUCUGAGAAUAAAGUCAGAAUCCUGUCA